Molecule: long non-coding RNA, 1607 nt
Filed under: Anas platyrhynchos platyrhynchos (common mallard)
Lineage: Eukaryota; Metazoa; Chordata; Aves; Anseriformes; Anatidae
Description: lncRNA (ENSAPLG00000026794.1)
Source: RNAcentral
CUGAAACAUUGCUUUUUUGCAAUAUGGGAUUUUUGAAAUGCAAAUAUUUGCAGCUCCUCCAAAACCACAAAAAUAAUGUUUGUCAGUGCUCUAGAGAUCAAUGCUUAAACCAAACAAUUUAGUGCAAUCAGGAGGAUGUUUUGACUUAACUGUAAUAUAUUUUAAAAGAAAAAAAAUGCUUUAUAAAUACAUAUACAUGUGCAUACACAUUUAUAGAUAUACAUACAUAUGGGAGACAGUUAGAGAUGUAGAUAUGUUAGGCAACUCUGAUAUGCCAAAGUAUUGUCUUAAAAUAUACAUUUACAACUGUGAUAGUAUGAGGUUUUCAUGGAAGAUUACUAUAAACUGACUUUUUUAUAAAUAAUGUUUGAGGCCUCAAAUAAAACUUAUUUGUUUCCUGUCUCAAGCAUCUGCCAAAAUACUUCUGAUUCUUGGGAGACUGAAAAAGUGGAAGACUUCCUCUUGCCCUUCAGUUACUCUGCUACCAGCUUGUGCAGUUGGAUUUGUUGCUUUAUGUUUCUCACUCUUAUCUGAAAUGCAAGCUUCUCUUUCCCAUUUGUUCUUGAGCUUUGCCAGUGCUAUGAAUACUGGGCAAUCGUACAGCCUUGUUACCACAGUCCAACCAGCCUAUACCUCAGGCUACGUCUCUAACAGCAGCUUUCGAAAGGGAUGAUGAGAAACAACCUGAUGCAGGCUGGAGAGCAAAAUAUGGAAAAUGACUGAAAACUGAGUAUGCCUACUGAAGCUGACAGAACAACAUAAUGGCUCAGCAGGGUGGUCCCAGAGAGCUGGCAUCCUCUGUUACACCCCAAAAUAGGUAGAAAUUGCAAGCAGAAACAGGAGGACUGUCAAGAGCAAGCUGCAGUGUCUGCAUCGCCCCAGCACAGUACAUGUUGCAUUCAUGCGCUUUCCCUAAGUAUGGCCUUACCAUAUGUAGAGGACCCUGGAGAAAUGAGCUGAGCAUGGAAACCUCCACGCAUUUGACAACUGGUGUGUUGGACAGUACUGCUGGAGGAACACGGCAUGAGAGAAUAUCUCUGCAAGUUCUGGUGAUGCUUUCAAUGAGAAAGUCCCCAAGCAUGCCCUUCUCCCUGUCAUGUAAUUCUGAAAAAGCAAAACCUUUGCUAAAACUCGCCUUCCUGAAGUUUGAGAGGCAUUUAGUCUUAGCAAGUGCCUAGUCCAGGACCACAAGUGAAGUUCCUCGGGGCAGCUCCUCCCCCUAGCCACCAGCAGCAGGAGCUUGACUGCACGUCUGCUUUGCAGAUAGCCGGGUGUGCUGCUGGAGCAGGGACAGGGAGCGUUCACCUGGCUAGAGAGAGGUGCACGGGAAAUCCUUCCUCUCCCAAUAGCGCCUUUUUGCUACCAUCUAGUGGUCAUCGACAGCUGUGAUAGCACAGAGACUUGCAGAGAGGUGGAUGUUAGCAACAAAGAACAUGGAGAGCUGUCUACAGAAAUUUCCCCAGAAUUUCUUGGAUUUGCCUUUGUUGGUCCCGGGCCCUGAUCCUGCUGCUCUUACUGUUGGUCCACAGUGCAGCACAGGGAGGCCAGGGCAGGGCUGUGGCAUGCCCUCACCUGGGAGCCAGCCUGCCAUGAUACUACAGCUGUAG